Molecule: ribosomal RNA, 741 nt
Filed under: uncultured Chlamydiae bacterium
Lineage: Bacteria; Pseudomonadati; Chlamydiota; Chlamydiia
Description: bacterial SSU rRNA
Rfam family: Bacterial small subunit ribosomal RNA
Source: RNAcentral
UGCAAGUCGAACGAAGUAGCUUGCUACUUAGUGGCGAAAGGGUUAGUAAUACAUGAGUAACGUACCUCUUACCUGGGGAUAACGGCUGGAAACGGCCGCUAAUACCGAAUGAGAAGUGCUGGGGCAGCCCAGCUCCUUCAAAGUAGGGGACCCCUCGGGGCCUUACGGUAAGAGAGCGGCUCAUGGGAUAUCAGCUAGUUGGUGUGGUAAAGGCGCACCAAGGCUAAGACGUCUAGGCGGACUGAGAGGUUGACCGCCAACACUGGGACUGAGACACUGCCCAGACUCCUACGGGAGGCUGCAGUCGAGAAUCAUUCGCAAUGGGCGAAAGCCUGACGAUGCGACGCCGUGUGGACGAUGAAGGCCUUCGGGUUGUAAAGUCCUUUCGCAAGGGAACAAGAGAUAGUGACUAAUAAUCACUAAAUUUGAGGGUACCUUGUAAAGAAGCACCGGCUAACUCCGUGCCAGCAGCUGCGGUAAUACGGAGGGUGCAAGCAUUAAUCGGAUUUAUUGGGUGUAAAGAGCGCGUAGGCGGGUCAGCAAGUCAGAUGUGAAAUUCCGGAACUCAAUUCCGGAGCUGCAUUUGAAACUACUGAUCUUGAGGAUAGACGGAGAAAACGGAAUUCCACAUGUAGCGGUGAAAUGCGUAGAUAUGUGGAAGAACACCGGUGGCGAAGGCGGUUUUCUAGUUUAUUCCUGACGCUGAGGCGCGAGAGCAAGGGUAGCAAACAGGAUUAGAUA